Long non-coding RNA from Gallus gallus (chicken), 523 nucleotides. RefSeq lists it as uncharacterized. The record is from RefSeq and is a predicted model, not a curated record. The transcript has 3 exons. Lineage: Eukaryota; Metazoa; Chordata; Aves; Galliformes; Phasianidae.
GGUGAUUGCUGUUUCCAUGACACCCACAUUCUCUCCACAUUAGCCAUUCUGAUGCAUUAAUCGUGACCCAGGAACUCAUGUGAAACUACAUAUGCUUCAGGAGGCAGAAGAACUGUGAUACUGUGGAUGAAAGAUCCAAUAGAAUACAAAGCUGUCUAAGGCAAGUCAGAUUGGAAGGGAAACCCACGUGAGAACAUCAGGUUCCCGUGAUUGGCUUUUGCUGAUCUCCCCUCCUCUGACAUCGCUGCCUGUUGAGCUGGAGAGCACAAAGGAAGACUAAUCACUGCACGCCUUAAGCUGACUCCUGCAGUAAGCCCUGGUGUUUUAUCAGCUGCAGAGACAAUCAAUACCUGGGGAGAGAGAAGUUUUGCCAACUGUCACCUGAGAUAAAAUGAUCAAUUUCCUAAUUCUAGUACUAAUGCUGGCUUCAAAGCCCAGUGAUAAUUAUCCCAGCUGGUUUUAAAACAAUUUGUGAAUGACACUGAUCAUGAUUAUUAAAACUGGUGUGAAAGGCAUUGUGGCA